UGGUUAUCGAUCAAAGAUUGUGCG
RNAcentral lists this non-coding RNA (24 nucleotides) under Arabidopsis thaliana (thale cress). Lineage: Eukaryota; Viridiplantae; Streptophyta; Magnoliopsida; Brassicales; Brassicaceae. The record is from RNAcentral.